GACGAACGCUGGCGGCGUGCCUAAUACAUGCAAGUUGAGCGAUGAAGAUUGGUGCUUGCACCAAUUUGAAGAGCAGCGAACGGGUGAGUAACGCGUGGGGAAUCUGCCUUUGAGCGGGGGACAACAUUUGGAAACGAAUGCUAAUACCGCAUAAUAACUUUAAACAUAAGUUUUAAGUUUGAAAGAUGCAAUUGCAUCACUCAAAGAUGAUCCCGCGUUGUAUUAGCUAGUUGGUGAGGUAAAGGCUCACCAAGGCGAUGAUACAUAGCCGACCUGAGAGGGUGAUCGGCCACAUUGGGACUGAGACACGGCCCAAACUCCUACGGGAGGCAGCAGUAGGGAAUCUUCGGCAAUGGACGAAAGUCUGACCGAGCAACGCCGCGUGAGUGAAGAAGGUUUUCGGACCGUAAAACUCAGUUGGUAGAGAAGAACGUUGGUGAGAGUGGAAAGCUCAUCAAGUGACGGUAACUACCCAGAAAGGGACGGCUAACUACGUG
This 497-nucleotide ribosomal RNA is filed under the name uncultured bacterium. RNAcentral's name for it is "partial 16S ribosomal RNA". It matches the Rfam family "Bacterial small subunit ribosomal RNA", at positions 28 to 507 of the family's 1533-position model. The record is from RNAcentral.